UAGCCGUAAACGAUACUCGCUAGGUGUCGGCCACGGUGCGACCGUUGUCGGUGCCGUAGGGAAGCCGUGAAGCGAGCCACCUGGGAAGUACGGCCGCAAGGCUGAAACUUAAAGGAAUUGGCGGGGGAGCACCACAACGGGUGGAGCUUGCGGUUUAAUUGGAUUCAACGCCGGAAAUCUUACCGGGACCGACAGCAACAUGAAGGCCAGGCUGAAGACUUUGCCGGAUUAGCUGAGAGGUGGUGCAUUGGCGUAGUCGUGU
Molecule: ribosomal RNA, 262 nt
Filed under: uncultured archaeon
Lineage: Archaea
Description: partial 16S ribosomal RNA
Rfam family: Archaeal small subunit ribosomal RNA
Source: RNAcentral